Molecule: long non-coding RNA, 624 nt
Filed under: Equus caballus (horse)
Lineage: Eukaryota; Metazoa; Chordata; Mammalia; Perissodactyla; Equidae
Description: lncRNA (ENSECAG00000038727.3)
Source: RNAcentral
CAAGAACAGAACAGUAGAAAAGCCCAGGCAGAGCUGAAGACAGUGACGGAAGGGAUUAUAGCUUCUGAAGAAGAAAAAAAUGAUUACAAGUGGCCUGAAUUGAUCAAAUAUGCCAAUUGAUUCGGUAUUGGACAGUGCCAGACACCAUGAUGUUCACCAGGCAGAAGAAAGAAAAGCCACAUCAGGUGUCACAAGGCAUGAAAGCAUUAUAGUCCUUCUAGUUGUGGCAUGUGGGACGCUGCCUCAGCGUGACUUGAUGAGCAGUGCCAUGUCCGCACCCAGGAUUCGAACCAACGAAACACUGGGCCGUCUGCCUGCAGCGGAGCGCAAGAACUUAACCACUCGGCCACGGGGCCAGCCCCUGGAACACUGAUUUUCUGAUGAACCUCGAAAAAUUUCUAAUUAGGAGUUCUAUUAAAUACAAUCCAAGUUUUGUAAAAAUAUCUUUACCAAAGGACUCUGUAUUUCCACUGCAUAUGGCUUCACAUGAAUCUGAGAGUUGAGGUUCAGCAGAUAAGAAGAGAAUGUAAAGUGCAAAACGAUUCUUACCCUUAGGUGCAUAUUUCAAAUAUGUUAUUCUGUGCUUGAGGUUAAAGUAAAUUUUUGCUCAUGCAAGAAAUAAAU